This 447-nucleotide ribosomal RNA is filed under the name uncultured bacterium. RNAcentral's name for it is "partial 16S ribosomal RNA". It matches the Rfam family "Bacterial small subunit ribosomal RNA", at positions 29 to 523 of the family's 1533-position model. The record is from RNAcentral.
AACGAACGCUGGCGGCAGGCUUAACACAUGCAAGUCGAACGCCCCGCAAGGGGAGUGGCAGACGGGUGAGUAACGCGUGGGAAUCUACCGUGCCCUGCGGAAUAGCCCCGGGAAACUGGAAUUAAUACCGCAUACGCCCUACGGGGGAAAGAUUUAUCGGGGGAUGAUGAGCCCGCGUUGGAUUAGCUAGUUGAUGGGGUAACGGCCUACCAAGGCGACGAUCCAUAGCUGGUCUGAGAGGAUGAUCAGCCACAUUGGGACUGAGACACGGCCCAAACUCCUGCGGGGGGAAGCAGUGGGGAAUAUUGGACAAUGGGCGCAAGCCUGAUCCAGCCAUGCCGCGUGAGUGAUGAAGGCCUUAGGGUUGUAAAGCUCUUUCACCGAUGAAGAUAAUGACGGUAGUCGGAGAAGAAGCCCCGGCUAACUUCGUGCCAGCCGCCGCGGUAA